This 254-nucleotide ribosomal RNA is filed under the name uncultured bacterium. RNAcentral's name for it is "partial 16S ribosomal RNA". It matches the Rfam family "Bacterial small subunit ribosomal RNA", at positions 524 to 776 of the family's 1533-position model. The record is from RNAcentral.
UACGGGGGGAGCAAGCGUUGUUCGGAUUUACUGGGCGUAAAGGGCGCGUAGGCGGCCAGCGCAAGUCAGUUGUGAAAUCUCCGAGCUUAACUCGGAAAGGUCAACUGAUACUGCGCGGCUAGAGUGCGGGAGGGGCAACUGGAAUUCUUGGUGUAGCGGUGAAAUGCGUAGAUAUCAAGAGGAACACCUGCGGCGAAGGCGGGUUGCUGGGCCGACACUGACGCUGAGGCGCGAAAGCCAGGGGAGCAAACGGG